This 67-nucleotide transfer RNA is filed under the name Marmota monax (woodchuck). RNAcentral describes it as "tRNA.Ala". Lineage: Eukaryota; Metazoa; Chordata; Mammalia; Rodentia; Sciuridae. The record is from RNAcentral.
GGUUGUGGCUCAGUGGUAGAGCGCUCGCCUAGCAUGAGUGAGGUAUUGGGUUCGAUCCUCAGCACCA